This 497-nucleotide ribosomal RNA is filed under the name uncultured bacterium. RNAcentral's name for it is "partial 16S ribosomal RNA". It matches the Rfam family "Bacterial small subunit ribosomal RNA", at positions 28 to 507 of the family's 1533-position model. The record is from RNAcentral.
GAUGAACGCUGGCGGCGUGCCUAAUACAUGCAAGUCGAGCGAACAGACGAGGAGCUUGCUCCUCUGACGUUAGCGGCGGACGGGUGAGUAACACGUGGAUAACCUACCUAUAAGACUGGGAUAACUUCGGGAAACCGGAGCUAAUACCGGAUAAUAUAUUGAACCGCAUGGUUCAAUAGUGAAAGACGGUUUUGCUGUCACUUAUAGAUGGAUCCGCGCCGCAUUAGCUAGUUGGUAAGGUAACGGCUUACCAAGGCAACGAUGCGUAGCCGACCUGAGAGGGUGGACGGCCACCCCGGGACUGAGGCCCCGUCCCGACUCCUACGGGAGGCAGCAGUAGGGAAUCUUCCGCAAUGGGCGAAAGCCUGACGGAGCAACGCCGCGUGAGUGAUGAAGGUCUUCGGAUCGUAAAACUCUGUUAUUAGGGAAGAACAAAUGUGUAAGUAACUAUGCACGUCUUGACGGUACCUAAUCAGAAAGCCACGGCUAACUACGUG